GCGGGUGUAGCUCAAUGGUAGAGCGUCAGCCUUCCAAGCUGAAUGUUGUCGGUUCGAGCCCGUCCACCCGCU
RNAcentral lists this transfer RNA (72 nucleotides) under bacterium. RNAcentral's name for it is "tRNA-Gly". It matches the Rfam family "tRNA". Rfam says of the family: Transfer RNA (tRNA) molecules are approximately 80 nucleotides in length. Their secondary structure includes four short double-helical elements and three loops (D, anti-codon, and T loops). The record is from RNAcentral. RNAcentral also lists the same sequence under 1 other name.